Long non-coding RNA from Papilio xuthus (Asian swallowtail), 726 nucleotides. RefSeq lists it as uncharacterized. The record is from RefSeq and is a predicted model, not a curated record. NCBI's taxonomy places the organism in Eukaryota, Metazoa, Arthropoda, Insecta, Lepidoptera, Papilionidae. The transcript has 3 exons.
GUCAUCGUAAAAUAUAAAAAAGACAAUCAUGAAAAAUCUUAUGUCAAUCAUUUUAAAAAUCUAAAAGUAUAAAUAAAUUAAUAAUUAUGAUAAAAAAACUGUUCGUAACACAGUAACUAUAGUUGAAUAUGUUUAUUAUGGUGUAAAAACUGAAGCUGGAGCAAGGUCUGGGUAAAUUUUCAAAGGUGGCAAUAUAACAUGAGUAAAUACUCUACAUACUCGCUUAAGAGUUUGAAACCUUGUGUAUCGGCACCAUCAUGUAGCGUACACAGGCACCGACCCCGGCCAGCUCCGUGCCCAGAACCGGACAAGUGCUACAAGAAAUGUAUCAAACGAAAGUAUAAAUGUCCCAGCGCAUCCGAAACCGUCAGCAGGAGGGGCAUGCCUUGCGACUGCGCCAGGUUGCAGUCUAAAGAAUCCAGAAUUAGUAACAAAAAAUCACAUAAAACGCACAAAAAACGUUUGCGUAAAGUUAUGCGAACACGAUCGAUGGAAUCGCGUUGGCGUAAACAGAGAAAAUGCUGUGUUAUUUUGUAGUACUUACUUGAAAAACACAGCGAAUUAGAUCCAUAACUCUAAAGAUAAUUUUGUAUGAAAUUAAAUGAUUUGUAUUCAAAUUUAUAACGAACAAUUUUUAAACAAAAAAAACAUCUGUCUUUUAUGAACAUGUUUGUGAACAUAUUAUUUGUAAUGCUGAAACAAUAGACUUGCGAUAUUAGACAACGG